GACAGAGGGUGCAAACGUUGUUCGGAAUUACUGGGCGUAAAGCGUGUGUAGGCGGCCAUGUAAGUCGGAUGUGAAAGCCCCGGGCUCAACUCGGGAAGUGCACUCGAUACUGCGUGGCUUGAGUACUGGAGAGGUUGGUGGAAUUCUCGGUGUAGAGGUGAAAUUCGUAGAUAUCGAGAGGAACACCGGUGGCGAAGGCGGCCAACUGGACAGAUACUGACGCUGAGACACGAAAGCGUGGGUAGCAAACAGG
Molecule: ribosomal RNA, 253 nt
Filed under: uncultured bacterium
Lineage: Bacteria
Description: partial 16S ribosomal RNA
Rfam family: Bacterial small subunit ribosomal RNA
Source: RNAcentral